ACCCGCUGAACUUAAGCAUAUCAAUAAGCGGAGGAAAAGAAACCAACAGGGAUUGCCCCAGUAACGGCGAGUGAAGCGGCAACAGCUCAAAUUUGAAAUCUGGUCCCCCCGCGGGGCCCGAGUUGUAAUUUGAAGAGGAUGCUUCUGGCAAGGUGCCGUCCGAGUUCCCUGGAACGGGACGCCGCAGAGGGUGAGAGCCCCGUACGGUCGGACGCCGAGCCUCUGUGAAGCUCCUUCGACGAGUCGAGUAGUUUGGGAAUGCUGCUCAAAAUGGGAGGUAAACCCCUUCUAAAGCUAAAUACCGGCCAGAGACCGAUAGCGCACAAGUAGAGUGAUCGAAAGAUGAAAAGCACUUUGAAAAGAGAGUUAAAAAGCACGUGAAAUUGUUGAAAGGGAAGCGCUUGCGACCAGACUCGCGCCCGUCGGAUCAGCCGUCGCUCGUCGGCGGCGCACUCCGGCGGGCUCGGGCCAGCAUCAGUUCGCCUCGGGGGGAGAAAGGCGGCGGGAAUGUGGCUCUACGGAGUGUUAUAGCCCGCCGCGUAAUACCCCCGGGCGGACUGAGGACCGCGCGUAUGCAAGGAUGCUGGCGUAAUGGUCGUCAGCGACCCGUCUUGAAACACGGACCAAGGAGUCGUCCUAAUAUGCGAGUGUACGGGUGUCAAACCCCUGCGCGUAAUGAAAGUGAACGGAGGUGAGAGCUUCGGCGCAUCAUCGACCGAUCCUGAUGUUCUCGGAUGGAUUUGAGUAAGAGCAUAUUGGGCCGGACCCGAAAGAAGGUGAACUAUGCCUGUGUAGGGUAAAGCCAGAGGAAACUCUGGUGGAGGCUCGCAGCGGUUCUGACGUGCAAAUCGAUCGUCAAACAUGGGCAUGGGGGCGAAAGACUAAUCGAACCUUCUAGUAGCUGGUUUCCGCCGAAUUUYCCCC
This 924-nucleotide small RNA is filed under the name Microascus trigonosporus. RNAcentral describes it as "eukaryotic LSU rRNA". It matches the Rfam family "Eukaryotic large subunit ribosomal RNA", at positions 23 to 973 of the family's 3401-position model. Lineage: Eukaryota; Fungi; Ascomycota; Sordariomycetes; Microascales; Microascaceae. The record is from RNAcentral.